GGUUAAGCGACUAAGCGUACACGGUGGAUGCCCUGGCAGUCAGAGGCGAUGAAGGACGUGCUAAUCUGCGAAAAGCGCCGGCGAGGUGAUAUGAACCUUUGACCCGGCGAUGUCCGAAUGGGGAAACCCAGUGUGUUCCGACACACUAUCGUUAACUGAAUACAUAGGUUAACGAGGCGAACCGGGGGAACUGAAACAUCUAAGUACCCCGAGGAAAAGAAAUCAACCGAGAUUCCCCCAGUAGCGGCGAGCGAACGGGGAGCAGCCCGGAGUCUGAAUCAGCUUGUGUGUUAGUGGAACGGUCUGGAAAGUCCGACGGUACAGGGUGAUAGUCCCGUACACGAAAACACACUUGCUGUGAACUCGAAGAGUAGGGCGGGACACGUGGUAUCCUGUCUGAAUAUGGGGGGACCAUCCUCCAAGGCUAAAUACUCCUGACUGACCGAUAGUGAACCAGUACCGUGAGGGAAAGGCGAAAAGAACCCCGGCGAGGGGAGUGAAAAAGAACCUGAAACCGUGUACGUACAAGCAGUGGGAGCCUCUUUAUGGGGUGACUGCGUACCUUUUGUAUAAUGGGUCAGCGACUUAUAUUCUGUAGCAAGGUUAACCGUAUAGGGGAGCCGAAGGGAAACCGAGUCUUAACUGGGCGUUAAGUUGCAGGGUAUAGACCCGAAACCCGGUGAUCUAGCCAUGGGCAGGUUGAAGGUUGGGUAACACUAACUGGAGGACCGAACCGACUAAUGUUGAAAAAUUAGCGGAUGACCUGUGGCUGGGGGUGAAAGGCCAAUCAAACCGGGAGAUAGCUGGUUCUCCCCGAAAGCUAUUUAGGUAGCGCCUCGUGAACUCAUCUUCGGGGGUAGAGCACUGUUUCGGCUAGGGGGCCAUCCCGGCUUACCAACCCGAUGCAAACUACGAAUACCGAAGAAUGUUAUCACGGGAGACACACGGCGGGUGCUAACGUCCGUCGUGAAGAGGGAAACAACCCAGACCGCCAGCUAAGGUCCCAAAGUCAUGGUUAAGUGGGAAACGAUGUGGGAAGGCACAGACAGCCAGGAUGUUGGCUUAGAAGCAGCCAUCAUUUAAAGAAAGCGUAAUAGCUCACUGGUCGAGUCGGCCUGCGCGGAAGAUGUAACGGGGCUAAACCAUGCACCGAAGCUGCGGCAGCGACACUAUGUGUUGUUGGGUAGGGGAGCGUUCUGUAAGCCGUUGAAGGUGUGCUGUGAGGCAUGCUGGAGGUAUCAGAAGUGCGAAUGCUGACAUAAGUAACGAUAAAGCGGGUGAAAAGCCCGCUCGCCGGAAGACCAAGGGUUCCUGUCCAACGUUAAUCGGGGCAGGGUGAGUCGACCCCUAAGGCGAGGCCGAAAGGCGUAGUCGAUGGGAAACAGGUUAAUAUUCCUGUACUUGGUGUUACUGCGAAGGGGGGACGGAGAAGGCUAUGUCAGCCGGGCGACGGUUGUCCCGGUUUAAGCAUGUAGGCGGAGGUUCCAGGUAAAUCCGGUACCUUAUUAACGCUGAGGUGUGAUGACGAGGCACUACGGUGCUGAAGUGAUAAAUGCCCUGCUUCCAGGAAAAGCCUCUAAGCAUCAGGUAACACGAAAUCGUACCCCAAACCGACACAGGUGGUCAGGUAGAGAAUACCAAGGCGCUUGAGAGAACUCGGGUGAAGGAACUAGGCAAAAUGGUGCCGUAACUUCGGGAGAAGGCACGCUGAUAUGUAGGUGAAG
RNAcentral lists this ribosomal RNA (1724 nucleotides) under Enterobacter hormaechei subsp. xiangfangensis. Its description in RNAcentral is "partial 23S ribosomal RNA". It matches the Rfam family "Bacterial large subunit ribosomal RNA", at positions 1 to 1767 of the family's 2925-position model. Lineage: Bacteria; Pseudomonadati; Pseudomonadota; Gammaproteobacteria; Enterobacterales; Enterobacteriaceae. The record is from RNAcentral.